This is a non-coding RNA of Paramormyrops kingsleyae, 1682 nucleotides long. Lineage: Eukaryota; Metazoa; Chordata; Actinopteri; Osteoglossiformes; Mormyridae. The record is from RefSeq and is a predicted model, not a curated record.
UUCUCGUCCUCUGGCUGCUGGCCCCAAAUCCGCUCUUUAAUGCUGAACAGAUGCAGCACCACUGAGAUAGUGAAGAAAACAGCAGUGAAGAAGAAGAGGAUCUGCUCUCGUGCCUUGAAGGCCAAAGCCCAGAAGUGAUCAGAAGUGGUGAAUGCCCUGGGAAAUGUAACGGUGAAGCUUUGGCAUUGGCUUCUACGUGACCUUUCCAUCUACCCGAUGCUGCACUGACUACUUCCCCGUAAUGACUGUGUGUCUCUGGGCUGUUCGGAGUGGGGUAACGAGGCUGAGAGGGACGCAUACCGCCGCUGAAGGCAUGGGUGUUGAGCGCUAUGUCCUGCUCCUCCGUGUCGGCCACAUCCAGCAGACAGACCUGCAGGCAAGAGCACCUCUUCUGUAAAUGAAGGAUGGUAUCCAUCCAUCUUCCACCACAUCACCAUCACCAGGAUCAUGAGUGAAGACUGGAGCCUAUUCCACUCGGCACCGGGCACACGGCCAGGGAGAAGACUGGACAGCCAAACAAACCACGAUGAUGGGAUCAGUACCAUUAUUCACCAUAACUUCUUUAUUCAGCAAGGCAUCGUUAAGAGUGAAAAUGGGGCUAAACUCCUUUAAUUCAAACAGAAAGAUGAGUGUAGCUGUUCUGCCAGAAGGAAUUAUCUGUACUUCCGUUCACGCUUGGGCACAUCGCUUUCGGUUCAGUGCACAAAAUGACACGGAUGAACACAUUUCUUGACAGAUGCGGAAAUGAAAUUCACAAGUAUAUGUUCAACAGGAAAAACAUAAUGGUAAUUGUGGUUGUGAGAUUGUUAAAGCUAAUCCGGGUUACAGUCACAAUCAGAGGUUUGGAAACAUUUGGAUUUCCCAAUUAAUUACACCAACACUUCACAGAAUAUUGUUGACAGGACCAAGACUGUUGUCACCUCCAUUAUACUGAACUUGGACAUGUUGCGAAAACAUGCAACGUGAUAACUUGACAGAGAUAUCAUGAGUGUGUGCCAGAGCCAGGCAGAAACAGCAUCUGCAAGUUGGUCUCUACGUGCCAUUUAAGCAAGUUAAGCUACUGAUAGAUGACCACACUCGGUAGUAGAGAACACAAGAUGUAGUUCAUUAUGAUUCUUAUGAUGUUAUAAUGUUCAAAUCUUAAGUGCUAUACAUUUUUUUACGAUGUGCAAACAAGCACGUCUUCUUAAUCAUUCAUGUCGACAGAUGCAUUGCCUUUGGUUUACAACUUUUCCUCAUUGUGUUUGCAGUUUUACUAAUGAAUAUUCUCAGAUCAAAUUCUGUUUUCCCUACUGUACUGAAAUUGCACUGAACCGUGACCCAAAAUUUAAGUUUGUAUCGAAAAGUGAAUUUUGUGAACAGUUACACCCCUAACGGUAAACAUAAAAAAAAUCGUGAAAAUGGCCCUUAAUCAUCGCAUGUAAAGUGGUAGAAAGACAAUUAAUUUGUUUUGUUUUUAUUUCAGACCGAUAAAACCACUGAGGCACAAAACAGUGUGACAUAUCGGCUGGUACCUGGGUUGGUCCCGGAAGCAGUUUAAUCCUGUGAUUCAAACACAAUGACAUGACAAGCAGAUACUGUCCUGAAGAAGCUGGAACCUGGAAUACUGGCGUGCAGCAUGGGCAACCAUACAAACAAACCAGGGAAACUCCGGAAAUAUGAAACACACCUAUUAGAGAGCC